UGCGGGCCUUCGGGAGGCAGCGAGGGUGGCAUGCUUCUGGUAGCUGUUUGUUCCCACAGUAGUCUCAGCUCUGCUUUUGUACCCAGCAUCCAUUUUUGGGGGAACAGGUCUUAUCUAGAGAGGAAAUAGCCACGGUUUUGGGGGAAGCGGUUUAGCAUUUAGAAGGGUGCCGCCCUGCCACGGAGAUCCGUGUCUUGCAGUUCUCCGAGGACGUCCAAAUAUGAAGACGGUGCUUGCGCUCCUAAAACGGAGAAGGGCUCCUUGAGAAUCGGAGGUCAUAGGCAACAUGGAGGAGUGGAACAUGUUAGCUUCAUGAGGGAAAGAAAUUUUUGCUCUCUGUCUCUUCCUAGUCUCAGGGUUGCUGUCUUGUUUCUGAGCGAUGCUGUGGUAGCUGCUGGAAACUCCUGAUAUUGGCCAGGAUCCCAUAGAUACUGCACAGACGUAGACCAAAGACUGACUUCUCUCACGGGACACUAUGAAUAUACACUGCACCAGCCUGGAUUGCUUCCUCUCAGGAACCCAGCUUCCUAAAGAGGCUUUGGUUUAUUCUAUCUACAGAGCUGUCCGCAGUUCCAUGGAAGGACUACUGCCCUUGAGUAAUGCCUGGGCUUCUGGCCAAACUAAAUGCUAGAGUGUUUGCUGUGACUUCAGAUUUGCUGGUUAAGCUUAAUUUCCAAUUGACAGAUAAUUUCAAAACACCAUAAAGAUAUGUUCUUUGCAGGCUUCCAGCAGAUUAACUGAGGGAGAGGGGGUGUUAGAAAGUGCAUCCAACUUUUGCAGUCAGCAGUAUUGCGUGAUAAAUGUCACCAUAACCUAGAGAGAAGUAAGAUAAUGAAAUGCAUUAAUUUCCUACAACAAUUAAGUGCUACCAUGGCCUGGAGAGGGCUCAGAGCCAGCUGGUAAAAGUUACAGUAAAAAGUGGUGGGCAGGAAAAAUAACUAGAAAGAGCAUGAAAUGCAGAUAUAUGCUUUGCUAGUAUGUCCAGUCCUGGAUCACCAUGGAUUUUUGAUUAUCAGUCCAAUCUUGAACCUAUUUCUAUUGAUAUUUUUACUGCCUUCAAAGGGGGUAUCUUCAAACGCUAAGUGCAGGGGGCUAAGAGAAGACAGAAGCAAAAUAGAAAAAGAAAAAAAAAAGACCCCAGAUCUCAGUUUUGGUCUGAUAACCUUGCUGAUAUCUAUAGGAUAUGGGAAACAAAAUGGUAGUGCCAAGGAAUGCAUCUAACUAAUUGCUCUUGGCCCAUUCUGCACAGUUAAAUAAACGAUGUGUCAUACAUCACUUUCCCUCCCACAUACAGCCAAACGGAUAACUUCUUUUACAACUGCAAUUAUAUAACAUCCCGAUGCAAUGAUACAAAGUGAAAAUAGUGCCUCUGGUGCACCUUUUUGAUGAUCUAAUUUGAAGCCUGCUGAUGUGUAAAGAAAAUGUAACAUCAUGGCUUUCCUCUUCAGCUUUUUCCCCCCUGAAAUGGGUUGCAGUUUGAUUGCUUUUGUGCCCAGUUCCUGGAAUUCCUCACUAUCAGCUGUGAAUUCCUUCUUGAAAUAAACUCAUUCUGUCACCAGUCAAAAAUAUUUUCUCUAAUCUUUUUUCGUAAUAAAUUCAGCACUGGUGAUUAGAGUCAAACUGGCAAAAGCAUCCCCAUUUAUAUUCAAUCCAGCAAGAGCAGCAUCUGUGAAAAGUACUCCAUAUUACUUCCUCAAAAUACAUGGCCCUGCAUUUGGAAGUCUGAUGACAAGGUAAUUUUCUGCCUGUUACUUUAGACUUUUGCUGAGAAUAAGAGCAAAACGGUGGCCACAAGAUUGGUGGUUUUUUGAUUCCUGUCUCUGGUAGUUCAGAAGAAAUGAACUGGCUUGUGACUCUGGAAUAACUGCAGUUGACAGUAUUAUAGGAUCUUUGUUCAGGCUAUUUUCUCCUU
This is a non-coding RNA of Struthio camelus australis, 1912 nucleotides long. The record is from RefSeq and is a predicted model, not a curated record. NCBI's taxonomy places the organism in Eukaryota, Metazoa, Chordata, Aves, Struthioniformes, Struthionidae.